CAGCCGCCGCGGGAAUACGGAGGGAGCUAGCGUUGCUCGGAAUUACUGGGCGUAAAGCGCGCGUAGGCGGUUACUCAAGUCAGAGGUGAAAGCCCGGGGCUCAACCCCGGAACUGCCUUUGAAACUAGGUGACUAGAAUCUUGGAGAGGUCAGUGGAAUUCCGAGUGUAGAGGUGAAAUUCGUAGAUAUUCGGAAGAACACCAGUGGCGAAGGCGACUGACUGGACAAGUAUUGACGCUGAGGUGCGAAAGCGUGGGGAGCAAACAGGAUUAGAUACCCCCGUAGUCCCUGUCUCUUAUAC
Molecule: ribosomal RNA, 301 nt
Filed under: uncultured bacterium
Lineage: Bacteria
Description: partial 16S ribosomal RNA
Rfam family: Bacterial small subunit ribosomal RNA
Source: RNAcentral